AUGGGGUCCAGAGGGUUAAGCCCCCAGAAGCACGUAGGCCUCUAUUCAUGCUUUGUUGUGUACUAAGAAAUAAAAUCUAGGAAUUCUGUGAAGGACCCUGAUCUCUAAAUAUGUUAUUAUUUCCAGUCAACCCUGUUUUGAAGCUCAACUAUUUAAAAAGAUCACUAAAAAUUUCAAUUUUUAGAGCGGUUCGCAUGUUACUGAACCUCUUUAUGAUGACCACCUGUCCACAAAGGCCACUUUUGCCAGCUUCCUCAGGAAGGUUGUUUGACAAGUUUGACUGUACUGUGAAUCCUCAACAAUAUGUACUGAAUAUAUCCUCAAUAGUGCUUUUCUUUUCCCUAAUUUAUUGUUUCAGCAGCAGUGAGAGACAGAAAUACUACAAGCACAUUCAAAAAGCGAAGGCAAGCCCAGACAAAUAUAUGAGCAUCAUCAUCGAUGGGAUAUGGAUCAACACUGCACAGCAAUACCGCAACUACACCCAGCACCCAAAGCCCUAAGCCACACGGACCAACUCAACACACACAUCACUGGUGCAAUUGUAGAUGGAAGUGGUCAACACACUCAUAUCGACAUCAAAGAAUACCUUCAUGACAGCAACCUCACCAUCAACAUCAUCCUCAACAUUCUCAUCCACUGCACCGACUCCCUUCCACCAACUUUGUAUCUCCGAUUAGACAAGACAGCAAGGGAGAACAAGAAUCGACACGUCUUUGCCUUUCUCUCUCUCUUAAUGGAGCUCAUUAUCUUCAAAAAGAAGACGAUGCAACAGUGAGGUGGCCCAUUUGCGACUUAAUGCUAGCAGGCACUCAACCAGUGAAUGCUCCACAGCAGCAAGUGCAUGCUGACAUCACAGAGGAAAAACCAUACAGACAGGUUCAUCUUGGACCCAAUGCGAGGAAGGCUCAAGAGGACAGAAAUACUGGAGGGAGAUAUGGUGGCCACCUACCGCGAGGCGUAUAGCACACAAUGACCACAGAUAGGACAAGGACAAGAUGUGGACAAGGUCAGGGAGGAUGUCCUUGUACUAGAAUGGUUUACAGGGACAUUGGCAACAAAAUGGAAGAAGAUGAUGGUUGCUGUCACAGGACAGCGGGACUGGAAGCAGGUUUGGGUUGAGACCAUUCCAAGGGAUAGUGUAAUUCUCCUUCCUUUCACUCUGACAGCAAGAGACAAACUGCCACCUCAGUUAGUGAUUCGAUUGAAGGAGAAAUAUAUGGAUUAUUUGAAGUAGGUAUUCAGGCCUAGUUAAAGCCCUUCUAUAGUGUUGGGACCCCCCCCCCCCCCAAUUUGAUGGCAAUAUUCCACAUAGAGUGCGUACUGACAUAUGGUUUUCGAUGAACACACAAUUCUGCAAGGAUUUUCAUGACGCUAGUGAUUGAAGACAAAUUUUGGUAAUAGAAAUAAAGGAAUUUCAAUUUUUCUCUUUUAAGCAUACAACUCAAUUUUUAAAAAGAUUUGUUUUUAAAUCAUCACUAAGAUAACAAAUGAACUUUCGAACAUUAAGUUUUAAGUAACAUGUAUAUGUGAUAAAUUGUUCGCCCUGAAACUGCACUGAAAUAUUUUAUUCGGCUCAAGUUCUUAUCUAGAAAAUAUCAGAGGAGAGACAGACUAAUUCCAUGUCAACUGUAAAUGUAAAACAUUUUUUUCCCGUAUGAGUAUAAAUUUAUCUCAAAAUUGUUUGCAUAUGGGAUGUAGUCUUAACCCCCUCCCCCCCCCCCAUCCCCCACCCCUGCUUAUUCACAGGCUGGCUGAGUCGUUGCGAAAUUUUCGGCGCGAUUUUCAGAUUUUAAAACCCCACCUUGGAAAAAGUCCUGCGUACGCCCCUGUAAGUUGGUAUAAAGCUUAUACCAUUUAGUGCCCUGUUGGUUGGUAUAAUGCUUAUACCAUUUAGUGCUCUGUAGUAUACAAAUAAUACGCUGCCUUUGGAAGUUCUGGUUAAACCUAUGCGCAAGAGGUGACUCCAAUAGUACUAUUUGCUGAGGGGUAUAUUUGUUUUAUAUCAUGCAUUAAAAAUCUAUUUAAUU
RNAcentral lists this long non-coding RNA (2027 nucleotides) under Strongylocentrotus purpuratus (purple sea urchin). RNAcentral's name for it is "uncharacterized LOC100888824". The record is from RNAcentral. Lineage: Eukaryota; Metazoa; Echinodermata; Echinoidea; Camarodonta; Strongylocentrotidae.